GCCGCGAUAGCUCAACUGGCAGAGCAUCUGCCCGGUAUGCGGAGGGUCGUCGGUUCGAUUUCGGCCCGCGGCG
This 73-nucleotide transfer RNA is filed under the name Fasciola hepatica (liver fluke). It matches the Rfam family "tRNA". From Rfam's summary of the family: Transfer RNA (tRNA) molecules are approximately 80 nucleotides in length. Their secondary structure includes four short double-helical elements and three loops (D, anti-codon, and T loops). The record is from Rfam by way of RNAcentral. Lineage: Eukaryota; Metazoa; Platyhelminthes; Trematoda; Plagiorchiida; Fasciolidae.